This is a long non-coding RNA of Hypanus sabinus (Atlantic stingray), 876 nucleotides long. RefSeq lists it as uncharacterized. NCBI's taxonomy places the organism in Eukaryota, Metazoa, Chordata, Chondrichthyes, Myliobatiformes, Dasyatidae. The transcript has 3 exons. The record is from RefSeq and is a predicted model, not a curated record.
CCAGUGCUGCAUUGCUUUCAAAUGAAGAAUAAACAGGAUGAGGAACAUUACAAUUCACUCAUUCCAGGAACUGAGUUAAUGGUCCAGUUGUUAGAUACGGUCCUAAUAAUGCAUUGCACUGUAACAACCAAAAUCAGAUUUCCUCCAAGUUUGAACAUCAGGAUGUCAUAGAAAGCCAACUUUGUCUCUACUACAGACAUGUGCUCACAGAAAUGAGGAAGAUCUUUGACCACUCUGUCCACAGUAAAGAUACUGCUAAGCGUCUACUCACUCUCCCUCUGGGCUCACGCAGUUUUGCUGAAUAUUCUGUGGAGUUCCGGAUGUUAGCAGCCGAUUCGGGGUGGAAGGAUGAGGUACUCCAAAGGCUAUUUCAGAAUGGACUCAGUGACCUGGUGAAGGACGAGUUGGCGGCAAGAGAUGACACCGACAGCCUGGAUUCCUUCAUCUCCCUAGCCACCAGGUUGGACAAUCAUCGCCAUAGGGAAAGAACUGGACAUCCACCGCCUUUGUCCACUCAAUGGCACUCAUUACCAUCUCCCACCAGCAUAAGACCCCCCAACUCCUGCUCCUAGAGUAGAUCCCAGCCCGACCAUUUCCACCACCCUGGGAGAGGAACCCAUGCAGCUGGGACAGAACCUCCUUUUCCCCACAGAACGACUACAGAGAUUGAGAGCGGGUGUGUGUCUAUAUUGAAACCAGUCCAGCCACUUCCUUGUCCCCUUCAGCCAAAGGGGGGGACCCUGGUGUGGUGAACUACAUAUACCUGUCUGGACAUGCCCCCUGCUGACUGCUCCUGUGGCUCCUCCCACAGACCCCGGUAUAAAGGCAAUUGAGGCCUGAGCCCAGCCUCUCAGUCUCCAGGAUGUAGUAUGGUGG